GGUUGUUCACAACCUAUUGUGCGUGUUCUCGGCACAACACAAUAAGAUCACGCAGUCAGGGUGACCGUUUUCGUAUUUAAACGUGCCCGACGUUCGGCUAUCCACUUCAGUCUUUGAGUGAAGACGUUUUAUAAUUAGCCAGCCGUCUUGUUAAGCACUUCAUACCUACUUAUAAUGUUUCUCCUAGUCGUCUUCCUGUUAGCAGCAGGAACCACAGCUUCCGCUGUGCCAAGUGGGUCAUUGUUCCAGCAUCCGGCUGCCAGAAAACCAGUUGCCACGUUCCACGAUCUGGAAGCAGCAGUGCCUGUCCAACACGGAACAGCCAGUCUUGCAGGAUCACGAGACGGAAAAUCAUUUGUCUGUGCGAGAUUGUGGAGUGAACCCAACUACACCGGGGGCUGGUAUGAGUUCCUGAAAGGCGCCAAUAUAAAUUUUGGUGCUGGUGGCAGUGAUGUGAUGUCCUCAGCAUGGGUGCAAUAUGGAUGCUCGCUGCAACUGUUCUCCUUGAACAGUUUCCAGGGUACUAGCUGGACCUUUACAUCGUCUGCACCAGACCGUGGCUACUUUACAUUUCCCGGUAAUGCAUGGGAUAACAACAGUCGUUCUGGAAAGUGCACUUGCGCGUACUGAAAUACCGUGCUUGCAUUUAGUGGAAUGUAGCUGCUCAUCCUGUGAAAUAUUUUAAUUUUCUUUAAAUAUUUCUCUUGACUGGAUGUUUUUCUGGUUCAGUUCGCCACUGUGCACUUCUUAUUUGCUGGGGCAGAGUACGCUUUUGCUCAGGGCAAAUCAAAUCUAAUAAUUAAAUUUAAUUUUUAAAAAAAUUAAUUCGGUGUGAAAGCACUUUUUUUGUCUUGGCGCAUUUUUCGGCAGAGUUUGCAAAGUGAAGUAGUUUUGGUGGCUCACCGGCAUUUCGUCGACUAAUACUUCGUCAUAGAGGCGGCAAACCGUACGGUGCGGUCAAACCGUACAUAACCGCAUAGGAAACGGCUACGGUAAAUCGGUGAGAUCAUUCUUUAUUGUCUUAGUUGUUAGCAACUAAUUUAAAUAUCACACACGAAAAACAUUAUAACACAAAGUAAAUAGCAUUUAAACCAUCAGAACGUGGAACAGUGGACGUCACAGACAGCGCACUCCCGCGCUGUAUUUAAAUGCUAAGACGUUGCAUCGUAAGAACCAAAAAACCGAAUAAAUCUAAGAAAACUGAGACAGUUUAGCAUAACGGUUGGUCGACUUUGUGACGGGUCGUCAUCAAGGGCGUUCGAUAAGGUUUUGGUCGACAAAAUGGCGGGUCACCACUUUAGGUGUACUAAGUUGUAGUAGGUAAUUCGCCAAUUGGUAAAUCACUUUCCCAACAAAAUAUCACUUUCGAUCAAAGCAGAAUCAUUUGCCGACAAAGCCAAAGCUUGCGAUUAAUACAGAGCAAGCUUGCUACCAUCGGAGUUUUCCUAACGAAGCUUUUUAGUGGCAGCUUUCACCUUGCGCGUUGGCGACUCUGUUCUCAUGGUAAUAGACUACGGGGUACCGGAAAGUUCCAGACAUUUUUCGCGUACAUUACUUGUAUCUUCGCAUGCAUGCGUGAGGGUACUCAGCGUAGCCGGUAUUCUUCCCUCAAGCUGCACUUGUCGUCGUCGGGAAAUCGUGGCAUAACCAGCAAAAGAGUCUGUCAGCGACUUGUUCUGGAUUUCAUAUCUGUUCACUGAGCUCAUAAUUUUUUGAGAAGUACAGCAUAACAGACACAAGGUUUCAGGAGUCUACAGGUAACUAGAGUAGAAAUACGGUAAAAUCGUGUUAUCGCUUAUCGAGCUGUUUACUGUGUACAUAAAUCUAUUUAGUACGUUUAGCAAACGGCAACGCCUUGCGUUAUCAUGAUCUAAAUAAAAAAUCCUUUACAUGAUCUAAAUAACUAUGUUUAUUUGGAAAACAGUCAGUUAACAUAACAGCAUGUCAGCGCUGCGAAGCUCGACAGAAUUGCGUCCAUAAUUGCGAAGACAGAAGCGCUCCAUAUUUUGCGCCCAUUUUUGCUAUCAGGCGGGUAACUUCCGGACCCAAUGGUUCAGAAUUUCGAACCCAGAGGGCACUAAAAGGAGUUUCGGGUGAUGAUCCCGAACCCCCAGUUCCGUUAUACAGCAACUAUUAGUCGUAUCCUAUUUAAUUUACGCUAGCUCACUAACGGUUCAUGAAACCUGUUGAAUACAACGAUGUCGGCGCCGGUUUAUAUAAAUGGUGUCGUUUUUGUACUGUAAUGUCGAGAUUAAUUGGUCAAAUCAAAGCCACAAUACACCAAUUUGAAGAAGAAAAAAAUUCGUUAAUUAAAUGAUAAUUUUGAUGAUAACGUUGCUAUAUUAUUAUGUUUCUCAUGCAGUCACGCUGAAGUACUGAGGUUUCUUUUCACCGUGAUAUGCUAAGAGUGAUUGCUCUAUUAUGAGCUCUGUGUUAUAUAUACAAAGCUAACUGAGCCGUUUUUUCGGCCAACAUCUCCUCCUACACCGUUCGACACUAAUUUUUACACGAUAGCUCAAAAAAUGCCUAAAACCAUGUAGUUUGCGGCAACGACUUUCGUUUUUCGAUCUUUUCAUCCUCCGAUUUACGAAACGGCUCCAAAGCGAAUUUCGCUGAUAGGUCGAUCAUUAGAAAGUAACAGAGGAUUGGCGGAAAUGCGUAACUUUCGAACCUAAACCGCUGACUCAUGGCAUAUGUACGGAACACAUGUAUACUAUAAUUAUGCAUAUUGUUAAGCCAGAGGGCAUACAUUUAGCAAAUACACACUGACACACACAUACGUGCUCGGUUUGUCCACUCGGUUGGUUCAUUCUACGGGAAUGCAAGUUUUGAAUGCAGCAGAUGAAAAUAAUUAUUAUUUUGAAACAGUUACUCUUACACCGUUCAAUACUUAUUUUUACACGAUAGCUCGAAAAGCGCCUAAAAGCAUGUAGUUUGCGUCAACGACUUUUGUUUUUCGAUCAUUUCGUCCUCCGACUGACAAAACGCAUACGAAACGAAUGUCGCUGAUUGGCUUAUCGAAUAAAAAAGGAUUGGCGGAAAUGCGAAACGUUUCGAACGAAAACCGCUGACUAACAGCAUGCGGUACAACGACAUUUAGGAGCCAAAGAGCACUAUACCGUUAGUUAAUACUGUUAAUAUUGUGGAUAUAGUGGAAAUACAGAAAUGCAAAAAGGCGUAACGUAAAACAGACUGAUUGAUGUGACACUAGCGUAAGGGGUAGCCCGGUUAUGUACACGUAGUCAUGUACAUAUUUGUAAAAAUAUGUAUUAUUUAUAUACAGAGCUAACUUGGCCGUUUUUCUUCAUUUUUCUCCUAUCCUUUCGGCGCUGAUUUUCCUACGAUAGCUUAAAAAGCGCUUAAAUCGUGUUAUUUGUCCUUUUGACUUUAGUUUUUUUAUCUUCUCGUCAUUCGAAUCAGAAAGCAUGACCAAGACGAAUUUCGCUGACUGGCUUAACAUAAGGUAACUAAUAGCUGAUUAGCGGAAAUGUAUAACUGAUGAGAGAUAAGGGAAGGGAUUUUCGCCGAUCAGAUAAAAAUACAGGGAUUUUCGCCGGUCAGGUAGAAGUAUAGGGAUUUCCGCCGGUCAGACAGAAGUACAGGGAUUUUCGCCGGUCAGAUAGAAAUGCAGGGAUUAUCGCCGGUCAGAUAGAAAUGCAGGGAUUAUCGCCGCUUAGAUAGAAGUACAGGGAUUUUUGCCGGUCAGAUAGUAAGCAUGGGAUUUUUGGCGGUUAGACGGAGGUGUAAAGGAUUUCACCGGUCAUAUAAAAAAGGGAAUUUUUUGGUCAGACAGAGGAGGAGGGAUUCAGUCGAUAUGUUAAUAAUAAUUUUUUUUGCCGAUAUGCUAUUUGGCUCGACCUUCUUUGUGGACGACGAUUUUAACGAUGGCACUUUCAUUAGUACAUGUAUAUGUUUAAUAUUUAUGGUUGCCUCUUUAUAUUAAUUUUAUAGCUCUGUUUACUAUAUUUAUAAUAAGAUAUCAACGUAAUUCAAUUAUUGAUUUACACAACAUACUCCCUAUUGCGUAACACUAGGUUACUAAUGCUAAGCGCAAUUUUGCUUUACGCCUUGCGACGUGAUUGUACCAUAACGGGAAAACACAGUGAAGCAAAAAGAAAUUUACACUUUUAUGUUUCAACCGUGUACCGAAAUAACUAACUAACUUAGCUGAAUUCUGUAGCAUUGAGUACUUAAUGACGACAAUGAAAAUUCAAAACAAACCGCAUUUCCAAUCCAGUUAAAUUCCUUUUCCUAAAUAUUUUUAAAACUACCUCAUUACUUUCUUCAAUUCUAAAAAUUCUCAACCGAGGCCGGAGGCCGAGGUUGAGCUUGUAGUAUCUAAUUAAAGCACAGCUAGUUUACUUUUGUGCGAAGCAUGUGGUAGUAAUAUACCCAAGGGGGAUAUUUAUAGAGCCGGUGAGUACGUGACGGCAGUGAUAAUUAUGUCGGUACAAAUAUUAUUGCUCAUGUACUUGCUAAAACUUAUAGUACAACAUUCAAUCAGCAGCCUUUUGAGUGCCUAAUCUUGUUGUGGUUUCAUGUAAGUAACAUUUUAUCGACGGAAAUCAGUAACGCCUGUGAAGGAUUGGUACGGAAUACAUCGCUGUACAUCGGAAGAACGUGAGAGUCUCAGAGGAUCAAUCUGCGAACUGCGAUGCAUAAAAUAUGCAUUAAAUCCUGGGGACAAUCACAAUCGACACCUGGACUCAAUCGCACAAACAUUUCUGACACCGUCUCGGAAAUCGGAAAUUUUUCCAGCAACCCAGUUUUGUUUACCCAUCCGCCAAUCUUACAACGUCGUGGAAACGUCGGUGAGGUCCGAGUUCGAGGACUGAAUUUAGACUUGAACCAUGGCUUCUUACCCGGUCUUGAAGAGCCACAGGAUGCUCGGAAGAACAGACAUUUGAAUAUUUUGUUGAACUGGCUGCGUGAGCAUCCUGAUGAUUUCCAUAACGCUGCGCCGGAAAUAAUUUGUUGGAGCUCCACCCUGAAGGAGGUUAUGCUCACAGCGGUACAUGUGAAAGCCCCAAAAGGUCAGAUGAAUAGCCAAGAUCUGCUCUAUGUACUGCAGACCCGAGUGCUGAAAAAAUCGAGUGAUGAUAGCCGCUGGCAUUGGGUGGAUCAUUGCGGUUUGCAAGAUCGACAGAGUGCUGUACAUGGCACUAGACGGCUACACAUAUCCGGAACAAUACCAUGAGCGGCUGCUGUCGGAGGAGGAAUUGGCUGCUUUGGAGUUCAAAGAGGAGUUAAUGACGUACCGCGGGAGGAAGUUUGAACAGUACAUGACACAUCCAGUGGAGAUGGAGACAACCCUGGACAGUCCACUGGAAAAUAGGCGCCACUUCUGCUCAUUUCUGGCGCGCCGCAUAAACGGCAUCAACGUGAUAUUUGGAGCAGAAAUAGACUGUCAGGAUCCGAAUGCUUCUGGUACGCCUGCGCCCGGAAAAUACGUUGAAAUAAAGACGACAAAGCUACGGAACUCAAGCAGAAAAUGGAAAUACAACCAGUACAAGUUGUCCCGAUACUGGGCCCAGGCAUGUAUUGCUGGAGUGAGCAAGGUUAUCAUUGGUCUUUGGAAUCCAAAAGGGACAUGCGUGAAAAUAGACGAGUUUGACACUGCGGAGAUUCCCGAUAAGGCCAAAACCAACCCGAAAACCAUGGCAACGUGGAGUGCAGAGGGAUGCAUAGACUUCCUGGAGCGGUUUCUGAAACGUGUAAAAGAGAUCGUAAUAGAGGACCAUACACAAGGAAUUUACAAGUUUCAAUGGAGUGCGGAUAAGAAGGACGAGAUCACAGUAGACUUCCAUCCCGGUCCCUACCAUGAUUUUAUCCAGAAUGUCCUUCGUUCGCUGCGACGACCACAAUGAUCCAACAGCAAAGCGGGAACAGGAAGGAAAACAUACUUCUGUAUCAAUAAUUGCUCUCACGAGUAGCGCCUUCAUCAAGCACGCAGUCAGUACAGACAAAACCACCCAAUCACGGGACGCAAAUGCCACACUGGAGACGGAAUGCCCUGUCUUCCCCACCAACAGGGCUCCAGCCAUGUUUUCCACCUCAGCAAUUCCGGCAUUUCGCAGUGAUCCUCUUCCUCCGUGGAAAUGCCCCGAUAUCCCCGGCUGCUCGAUCCACUGCUCCUAUAUCCACGGCUUCUUUGUGCUGGAAAAGGGAGACAGCACCUACCUGAACGUGCAGUGUUUCGGCAACCGUUCCACAACAAUUCCCGUAUUCACCCAGCUCCUCCGCAACCACAGUGACCGCGCCUUGACGGUCAUGUUAGCCGAUCUCAGCCACCGCAUGGACGCUCUGCACCCGGAUGUCCUGCAGCCCAUCAAGCGCAACCUAAUCGACCUGGAGAUCAACUAUUGCGGUGUCUCCGCCACCAGGCGUUUGUACGACGCCGGGGUGUUAUCCAAUCUGAUCAGCUUGAAAUUCGCCGUGGGGCUGGAUCUGCGUAUCGGGGAACGGGACUUCUCCCGGCUCCCGCAGAUCCGCCGGAUCGUUUCUCGGAAUUGACCAUUGCGUCCAUAGAACCCUACACCUUCACCAAUCUGCCGCACCUUCGUACACUGAAUCUGGAGGAAGAUCUGGAUCACGUGGAAUACGAAAUAGAAAGGGAGGAGUUCGCGAAGGACAAGUACGGGACGCUUCCGCAACGAGGGAAGUUAAUGCAGCAGGUGUAUGAACGGCGCUGCAACUGCUCGUACGCGUGGUUGCGGAACUUGUUCAGACGGAAACCGGAUCUGGUGGGUGUGCGCCGAGAAGGAGAGAUCGCUGUCAUUGGCAACUAUCUUACUCUGCUCUCCGCUGGCAGCGUUUUAGUGGUGGACUGCGCAGUGAGAAAUUUCACAACUCUGGAGGAAAUACGCACUGGUUGGACAGGGUUGUCCGUACCGCCCGGCGUGUUCUCUGUAAACACUUCCUGUUGGAACGUAACCUGUUGAAUCACAGAACUUGAUGUCAUUUAUACCGGGUGUUUUUCCGAAACUUUGAUUAUUCUCUGCGGUGCCUUUGCCUAAAUUAACCAUUUAAUUUAAUACUGUCCUGGGUUGCCCAGCUGCGUGAGAUAAUUUUUAGGAAAUAAGUAUUUGUUAUGCACCCACCGCUAUAUCAAACUGCAUACACCUGUUUGAAGUCAACAAAUUCUCCAAGAAAAAAAACAGUUGCAA
This is an RNA transcript of Paramacrobiotus metropolitanus, 7166 nucleotides long. It is a transcript of the gene named decapping and exoribonuclease protein-like, with no coding region annotated. The record is from RefSeq and is a predicted model, not a curated record. NCBI's taxonomy places the organism in Eukaryota, Metazoa, Tardigrada, Eutardigrada, Parachela, Macrobiotidae. The transcript has 9 exons.